Molecule: long non-coding RNA, 1147 nt
Filed under: Hordeum vulgare
Lineage: Eukaryota; Viridiplantae; Streptophyta; Magnoliopsida; Poales; Poaceae
Description: long non-coding RNA (HVUL_LNC008755)
Source: RNAcentral
UUAUAUUUAGGAACGGAGGGAGUAGCAUACAUCUGAAGUAAAAUCCUGCGUUUAUCUUUCAGACGUUUACCGCCGAAUAUUCAAUUACAGACAGAGUUUUUUUUUUUUUUGCGAGAGAAGUACAGACAGAGUUGCAUGUAUAGACAUGGAAAGAAAGGGGUAAAAGUACCACGGGCAUCUCCAAUAAUCGAAGACGAGUCACUCUCGAGGUACUGCAUCAAUAGAUACAUGGAGCUGCCAUUGCUAGUAUCUCCAACUGCAGCGCACAACACAACACUAGGAUCCAAAGCUAGCUAGCUAGCUAGAGAAACACUACUCUACAGUCCUCUGCCUCUGCCUUCGGCUCUGAACUCCAGCCUCUGCUUGACCGUAGUAGUACGUGCACAAAGCAAUGGAGCACAAGGGGCAGCUUCAGCCGGAGAAGAAGAGUGCCCAAGAAGAAGAAGAAGAAGCCAUGGCGAUGGCGGCCUCGUCUCCUUCCUUCUUCUUUGCGCACCCCUUGUCUCUACUGCACGGCUGCACCACGCCACCCGCAGCUUCGCCGGGUACAUGGGCCUCUCUCGCCUGUGCCACGCCCUCAAGGAUCUCAAGCCUCGCGCCGCCACUUCACCUCUCGCAGCCACUUGUUCCCAGCUGCAUGAUCAAGAGCACGGAGCAGGAGGCGCUGGACAUGCUGCAGAUGUAAGUAGAAAAUGAUCAGUAUCUUGUUAGCUUUGUUUGAGUUCAUCUAGGGACUGACUUCUGAUUUAAUCUUCUUGUGAUCUAUGGGCGGGCCAUGGCUAUGAUCGGACAGGAUGAUUGCGCGGCCGUCCAAGUGCGGUCGAGAGGGGUGCCUCAGAGGCCUCGUGGUCCAAGAGAAGGACGAGGAGGAACACACCACUAGGCUUAGGCUUAGCUUAGUCUGCAAUUGUAGGCUACAACAUUCUGCGUGUGUUCUUUCUGGAACUCUGAAUUUAGAGUCUUAGAGUGAGUGCUUCCAUCUCAUCCAGUUUUGUUCCAAAGACAAGUUUAAAUUCCAGGCCGGCCAUGUUGUUUGCGUUCCGGGUCGCAUUGAGAAAAAUUGUAUGUAUUUUUUGCACGCGCGCAGUCGCCUCGUGCCUUCAGUGAAGACGUAAACAUCAUAUACGGGGCAUAAGUGAUUCAGCGU